AUUGAACGCUGGCGGCAUGCCUUACACAUGCAAGUCGAACGGCAGCACGGGGCAACCUGGUGGCGAGUGGCGAACGGGUGAGUAAUGCAUCGGAACGUACCUUUCAGUGGGGGAUAACGUAGCGAAAGUUACGCUAAUACCGCAUAUUCUGUGAGCAGGAAAGCAGGGGAUCGCAAGACCUUGCGCUGAUUGAGCGGCCGAUGUCAGAUUAGCUAGUUGGUGAGGUAAAGGCUCACCAAGGCGACGAUCUGUAGCGGGUCUGAGAGGAUGAUCCGCCACACUGGAACUGAGACACGGUCCAGACUCCUACGGGAGGCAGCAGUGGGGAAUUUUGGACAAUGGGGGCAACCCUGAUCCAGCCAUGCCGCGUGAGUGAAGAAGGCCUUCGGGUUGUAAAGCUCUUUCGGCCGGGAAGAAAUCGCACGGGCUAAUACCCUGUGUGGAUGACGGUACCGAGAGAAGAAGCCCCGGCUAACUCCGUGCCAGCCGCCGCGGUAA
RNAcentral lists this ribosomal RNA (498 nucleotides) under uncultured bacterium. RNAcentral describes it as "partial 16S ribosomal RNA". It matches the Rfam family "Bacterial small subunit ribosomal RNA", at positions 30 to 523 of the family's 1533-position model. The record is from RNAcentral.